UUAUAGAGGCGCACGGGUGCGUAACGCGUGGGCCUCUGCCCUUGGGUUCGGAAUAACAGCGAGAAAUUGCUGCUAAUACCGGAUGAUGACGUAAGUCCAAAGAUUUAUCGCCCAAGGAUGAGCCCGCGUAGGAUUAGCUAGUUGGUGGGGUAAAGGCCCACCAAGGCGACGAUCCUUAGCUGGUCUGAGAGGAUGAUCAGCCACACUGGGACUGAGACACGGCCCAGACUCCUACGGGAGGCAGCAGUGGGGAAUAUUGGACAAUGGGCGAAAGCCUGAUCCAGCAAUGCCGCGUGAGUGAUGAAGGCCUUAGGGUUGUAAAGCUCUUUUACCCGGGAUGAUAAUGACAGUACCGGGAGAAUAAGCUCCGGCUAACUCCGUGCCAGCAGCCGCGGUAAU
Molecule: ribosomal RNA, 399 nt
Filed under: uncultured bacterium
Lineage: Bacteria
Description: bacterial SSU rRNA
Rfam family: Bacterial small subunit ribosomal RNA
Source: RNAcentral